AAAUUGAAGAGUUUGAUCAUGGCUCAGAUUGAACGCUGGCGGCAGGCCUAACACAUGCAAGUCGAACGGUAACAGGAAGCAGCUUGCUGCUUUGCUGACGAGUGGCGGACGGGUGAGUAAUGUCUGGGAAACUGCCUGAUGGAGGGGGAUAACUACUGGAAACGGUGGCUAAUACCGCAUAACGUCGCAAGACCAAAGAGGGGGACCUUCGGGCCUCUUGCCAUCAGAUGUGCCCAGAUGGGAUUAGCUAGUUGGUGAGGUAACGGCUCACCAAGGCGACGAUCCCUAGCUGGUCUGAGAGGAUGACCAGCCACACUGGAACUGAGACACGGUCCAGACUCCUACGGGAGGCAGCAGUGGGGAAUAUUGCACAAUGGGCGCAAGCCUGAUGCAGCCAUGCCGCGUGUAUGAAGAAGGCCUUCGGGUUGUAAAGUACUUUCAGCGGGGAGGAAGGUGUUGUGGUUAAUAACCGCAGCAAUUGACGUUACCCGCAGAAGAAGCACCGGCUAACUCCGUGCCAGCAGCCGCGGUAAUACGGAGGGUGCAAGCGUUAAUCGGAAUUACUGGGCGUAAAGCGCACGCAGGCGGUCUGUCAAGUCGGAUGUGAAAUCCCCGGGCUCAACCUGGGAACUGCAUUCGAAACUGGCAGGCUUGAGUCUUGUAGAGGGGGGUAGAAUUCCAGGUGUAGCGGUGAAAUGCGUAGAGAUCUGGAGGAAUACCGGUGGCGAAGGCGGCCCCCUGGACAAAGACUGACGCUCAGGUGCGAAAGCGUGGGGAGCAAACAGGAUUAGAUACCCUGGUAGUCCACGCCGUAAACGAUGUCUACUUGGAGGUUGUGCCCUUGAGGCGUGGCUUCCGGAGCUAACGCGUUAAGUAGACCGCCUGGGGAGUACGGCCGCAAGGUUAAAACUCAAAUGAAUUGACGGGGGCCCGCACAAGCGGUGGAGCAUGUGGUUUAAUUCGAUGCAACGCGAAGAACCUUACCUGGUCUUGACAUCCACAGAACUUUCCAGAGAUGGAUUGGUGCCUUCGGGAACUGUGAGACAGGUGCUGCAUGGCUGUCGUCAGCUCGUGUUGUGAAAUGUUGGGUUAAGUCCCGCAACGAGCGCAACCCUUAUCCUUUGUUGCCAGCGAUUAGGUCGGGAACUCAAAGGAGACUGCCAGUGAUAAACUGGAGGAAGGUGGGGAUGACGUCAAGUCAUCAUGGCCCUUACGACCAGGGCUACACACGUGCUACAAUGGCGCAUACAAAGAGAAGCGACCUCGCGAGAGCAAGCGGACCUCAUAAAGUGCGUCGUAGUCCGGAUUGGAGUCUGCAACUCGACUCCAUGAAGUCGGAAUCGCUAGUAAUCGUGGAUCAGAAUGCCACGGUGAAUACGUUCCCGGGCCUUGUACACACCGCCCGUCACACCAUGGGAGUGGGUUGCAAAAGAAGUAGGUAGCUUAACCUUCGGGAGGGCGCUUACCACUUUGUGAUUCAUGACUGGGGUGAAGUCGUAACAAGGUAACCGUAGGGGAACCUGCGGUUGGAUCACCUCCUUACCU
This 1545-nucleotide ribosomal RNA is filed under the name Salmonella enterica subsp. enterica serovar Saintpaul. RNAcentral's name for it is "bacterial SSU rRNA". It matches the Rfam family "Bacterial small subunit ribosomal RNA". Lineage: Bacteria; Pseudomonadati; Pseudomonadota; Gammaproteobacteria; Enterobacterales; Enterobacteriaceae. The record is from RNAcentral.